This 938-nucleotide unclassified non-coding RNA is filed under the name Hevea brasiliensis (rubber tree). The record is from RNAcentral. Lineage: Eukaryota; Viridiplantae; Streptophyta; Magnoliopsida; Malpighiales; Euphorbiaceae.
AAAACAAAAUUAAAAUUACCUAAUUUAAUAGCAAUAUAUAGAUUAAAAUAAGACCAAAUUGAUAACACUAAAUUUCAAGGCUGCUAAAAGUCGAAUCUUAUAGAAAUAUUAUAAUAUAUGCCUAGUUUCCGAGUAUAAAUAAUUAUUCACAUAAUUUCAGAGAACAAAUAAUUAUAACAUUGAUAAGGAUUUUAAUAGGCAAAAUUAACCAAACCCACAAUUGAGGUCAAGAUGUGGUGUAUAAGGUGGCUAAUGGUUUAGAAAUAGAAGCUAGUGAAGCUAAGACUUUUCCAAGGUGCACAUGCGGAUAAGAAGGUCCCAAAAGACAAAAAUUGUUAGAUAUCAAAUUGCUGGCUAAUGGACACAUCUGUGGAAAAUUUUUGCUAUUGAUUUAGCAGUUUCUAAGGACUGAUUGAGCAGCCAAUGGAAAUAUAGAGCUCAUUUUCUCUAUAAAUAGGUAGGAGUAGUUACUGGAGUAGGCAAAUACAAUUGGAGUCCCUUAAUUCCCUUAAUUUAGUUCUCCAUAGUUUCUUUAAGGAUGGUAAGUUCCUAUGUAAUUGGCAAAUGCUCUUCCACACUCUCCUUAACACUACUCAUUGGUUUGCUACUGGCUAGCCUUGAUACAACAGGUACAGUACUUGCAGCUCUUUCUGAUUAUUUUAUUUUAUUUUAAGGGGCCAAAAUGUCAAUUCUACAUCAUUAGAUUAAUCUGUAUUUUUCUAAUUAUACUCAUCUAAUACUUUUAUUAUUAUUUAAUAGAUGGACACAUAUAAACUUGAGAUUUAAUAUUUUCUGCGAGUAGAGAGAUUAAUCAAAUUAUGCCUGAUUUGUAGUAAAAUUUUACUUUAACCCUAAAAAUUUGAACGCACUAUUACAAUCCAUGUUAUUCCUGUUUAUAAAUUAUGACUAAUGUAUUGGUUGCUAACACUUGAUGCAGG